RNAcentral lists this ribosomal RNA (660 nucleotides) under Halorhabdus tiamatea. Its description in RNAcentral is "bacterial SSU rRNA". It matches the Rfam family "Archaeal small subunit ribosomal RNA", at positions 31 to 692 of the family's 1478-position model. The record is from RNAcentral. Lineage: Archaea; Methanobacteriati; Methanobacteriota; Halobacteria; Halobacteriales; Haloarculaceae.
GAACGGGGAUCGAUUUAGCCAUGCGAGUCGCACGGGUUCAGACCCGUGGCGAACUGCUCAGUAACACGUGGCCAAACUACCCUAUAGACGUGGACAACCUCGGGAAACUGAGGCUAAUCCACGAUAACGCUCUUUCGCUGGAGUGCAUUGAGCGUGAAAUGCUACGGCGCUAUAGGAUGUGGCUGCGGCCGAUUAGGUAGACGGUGGGGUAACGGCCCACCGUGCCCAUAAUCGGUACGGGUCAUGAGAGUGAGAGCCCGGAGACGGACUCUGAGACACGAGUCCGGGCCCUACGGGGCGCAGCAGGCGCGAAACCUUUACACUGCACGACAGUGCGAUAAGGGGAUUCCGAGUGCGAGGGCAUACAGUCCUCGCUUUUGUACACCGUAGGGUGGUGUACGAAUAAGGGCUGGGCAAGACCGGUGCCAGCCGCCGCGGUAACACCGGCAGCCCAAGUGAUGGCCGAUAUUAUUGGGCCUAAAGCGUCCGUAGCUGGCCGGACAGGUCCGUUGGGAAAUCCACUCGCUCAACGAGUGGGCGUCCAGCGGAAACCGUCUGGCUUGGGACCGGAAGACCCGAGGGGUACGUCCAGGGUAGGAGUGAAAUCCCGUAAUCCUGGACGGACCACCGGUGGCGAAAGCGCCUCGGGAAGACGGAUCC